AGCGAACGGGUGAGUAACGCGUGGGGAAUCUGCCUUUGAGCGGGGGACAACAUUUGGAAACGAAUGCUAAUACCGCAUAAAAACUUUAAACACAAGUUUUAAGUUUGAAAGAUGCAAUUGCAUCACUCAAAGAUGAUCCCGCGUUGUAUUAGCUAGUUGGUGAGGUAAAGGCUCACCAAGGCGAUGAUACAUAGCCGACCUGAGAGGGUGAUCGGCCACAUUGGGACUGAGACACGGCCCAAACUCCUACGGGAGGCAGCAGUAGGGAAUCUUCGGCAAUGGACGAAAGUCUGACCGAGCAACGCCGCGUGAGUGAAGAAGGUUUUCGGAUCGUAAAACUCUGUUGGUAGAGAAGAACGUUGGUGAGAGUGGAAAGCUCAUCAAGUGACGGUAACUACCCAGAAAGGGACGGCUAACUACGUGCCAGCAGCCGCGGUAAUACGUAGGUCCCGAGCGUUGUCCGGAUUUAUUGGGCGUAAAGCGAGCGCAGGUGGUUUAUUAAGUCUGGUGUAAAAGGCAGUGGCUCAACCAUUGUAUGCAUUGGACACUGGUAGACUUGAGUGCAGGAGAGGAGAGUGUAAUUCUAUGUGUAGCGGUGAAAUGCAUAUAUAUAUGGAGGAACACCGGUGGCGAAAGCGGCUCUCUGGCCUGUAACUGACACUGAGGCUCGAAAGCGUGGGGGAGCAAACAGGAUUAGAUACCCUGGUA
This 708-nucleotide ribosomal RNA is filed under the name Lactococcus lactis. RNAcentral's name for it is "bacterial SSU rRNA". It matches the Rfam family "Bacterial small subunit ribosomal RNA", at positions 97 to 792 of the family's 1533-position model. Lineage: Bacteria; Bacillati; Bacillota; Bacilli; Lactobacillales; Streptococcaceae. The record is from RNAcentral.